This 497-nucleotide ribosomal RNA is filed under the name uncultured bacterium. RNAcentral's name for it is "partial 16S ribosomal RNA". It matches the Rfam family "Bacterial small subunit ribosomal RNA", at positions 38 to 507 of the family's 1533-position model. The record is from RNAcentral.
GGGGGGGGGGGGGGGGGGGGGGGGGGGGGGCGGGGCGGGGGGGGGGGCGGGAAGCGGGCUGCGCGGAUGGUAGCGGCGGACGGGUGAGGAACACGUGGAUAACCUACCUAUAAGACUGGGAGAACGUCGGGAAACCGGAGCUAAUACCGGAUGAUAUUUUGAACCGCAUGGUUCAAAAGUGAAAGACGGUCUUGCUGUCACUUAUAGAUGGAUCCGCGCUGCAUUAGCUAGUUGGUAAGGUAACGGCUUACCAAGGCAACGAUGCAUAGCCGACCUGAGAGGGUGAUCGGCCACACUGGAACUGAGACACGGUCCAGACUCCUACGGGAGGCAGCAGUAGGGAAUCUUCCGCAAUGGGCGAAAGCCUGACGGAGCAACGCCGCGUGAGUGAUGAAGGUCUUCGGAUCGUAAAACUCUGUUAUUAGGGAAGAACAUAUGUGUAAGUAACUGUGCACAUCUUGACGGUACCUAAUCAGAAAGCCACGGCUAACUACGUG